AAAAAAAGGAAAUUACAGUUGUUGUACUUACACACAAUUUUAUUGUAAGCUAAUUCAGAAAUACAAUUUUGUCAUCUAACAAAUAAAUUAAUGUUUGCCCAACUCAAUAUUCUCAGAAUUUGGUCAACAAGGAAAUUUGAUUCACCAAAACAAGAUUUUUUGUUUCCCUCAACUUUCUAACAAGAUUAGAAAGAUUCUAACACAAAAAAUUAAGUUUCCUCAACUGUAUGUUCAUGGACACGCCUACUACGGGGUUUCCUUCCUGUCUCCAUGGACAUACACAGGUCUCCACGAGUCGACCGUUCUACCAUUUUCCCUCGAAGUUGAGAGGAUUGCCAGACGUGAGAUUCAUAUCAGAUAUCUAAAGAAUUUUAUAGAGUCACCAGCAAAAACCUCCAUGAAACUUGGAAUGCAUCUCUUGACAAGUAUACGUCCCGCCUGAUAAAACUUUACCGAGCCAGGAAGACAGCUUUUGGUCAAGAUUUGAAAAAGUUACUGAAUUCACUUGAUGAAGAGACGGCAGACAUUGCGCGCCAUAGAAGGACGACAGCAUUGAGAGGCCUUCCCAUUUUUGUUAGAGAGGAUGCAUCAGAGUUCUUUCUGAAGUGCAUGAACACAGACCCUGAGGAAGAGGUGGUUGGAGGAGUGGCAGUUGCCAUACUGACUGUCUAUGACGAUGAUGAUGGCACCGAAUCCCCACCAGUGACUGAAAUCAAUGUCAUCUUGGAAGGGGCAGUUAUAAAACACGACCUACCUGACCUCGCUGCUGCCUUCGCCUACCUGUUUGGCCUAAUGUAUGCAAUGGACAUAAGCUAUCCAGAGAAGAUGAGGUACACCUUUGAGGCCAUCCAGACUAUCUUUUUCGAGCUUGGUUCAAGAUGCUCGCAGCGCACGCGAUCCUUGAAAGAGAAGCUUUUGCUGUGAAGCCUGUGUAUGAUUUACACUCACACACACAUACACACGAACGCACGCACGCCCAGCUCUGUCAUCACUCCUCCAUGAACAAGCCUACACCAGCUCUUUCACACACACACACACACACACACACACACACACACACACACACACACACACACACACACACACACACACACACAAAAGGAGACUCCCUUUCAUACAUACAUCAUUGUUCUGGCAGCCCAUUGACUCUAGCAGUUAAAUGGUGGUUUACAUUGUGGUUUUAUGUUUUUGUACGUAUUGAUACAAUAGCCACAUUUACAUGAGCCUAAUGGCCUAAUGUCUUUAUCAGAGUAUUGGACAGUUAUAGCCUACACCACCUCUUACACACACACACACACACACACAAACACAAGGAGAUUCCCUUUCACAUCAUUGUUCCAGCAGCCCAUUGAUGUUGGAAAAAUAAAAACAAAUUGUAUUCAA
Eleginops maclovinus (Patagonian blennie) is the source of this 1383-nucleotide long non-coding RNA. RefSeq lists it as uncharacterized. The record is from RefSeq and is a predicted model, not a curated record. The transcript is spliced from 4 exons. NCBI's taxonomy places the organism in Eukaryota, Metazoa, Chordata, Actinopteri, Perciformes, Eleginopidae.